UGGGGAAUUUUGGACAAUGGGCGAAAGCCUGAUCCAGCAAUGCCGCGUGUGUGAAGAAGGCCUUCGGGUUGUAAAGCACUUUUGUCCGGAAAGAAAUCCUUGGCUCUAAUACAGUCGGGGGAUGACGGUACCGGAAGAAUAAGCACCGGCUAACUACGUGCCAGCAGCCGCGGUAAUACGUAGGGUGCAAGCGUUAAUCGGAAUUACUGGGCGUAAAGCGUGCGCAGGCGGUUUGCUAAGACCGAUGUGAAAUCCCCGGGCUCAACCUGGGAACUGCAUUGGUGACUGGCAGGCUAGAGUAUGGCAGAGGGGGGUAGAAUUCCACGUGUAGCAGUGAAAUGCGUAGAGAUGUGGAGGAAUACCGAUGGCGAAGGCAGCCCCCUGGGCCAAAUACUGACGCUCAUGCACGAAAGCGUGGGGAGCAAACAGGAUUAGAUACCCUGGUAGUCCACGCCCUAAACGAUGUCAACUAGUUGUUGGGGAUUCAUUUCCUUAGUAACGUAGCUAACGCGUGAAGUUGACCGCCUGGGGAGUACGUCGCAAGAUUAAAACUUAAAGGAAUUGACGGGGU
RNAcentral lists this ribosomal RNA (571 nucleotides) under uncultured bacterium. RNAcentral describes it as "partial 16S ribosomal RNA". It matches the Rfam family "Bacterial small subunit ribosomal RNA", at positions 355 to 919 of the family's 1533-position model. The record is from RNAcentral.